Molecule: long non-coding RNA, 541 nt
Filed under: Homo sapiens (human)
Lineage: Eukaryota; Metazoa; Chordata; Mammalia; Primates; Hominidae
Description: non-protein coding lnc-SKAP2-3:1
Source: RNAcentral
UAUCCAUGCUCUACGUUUUAUUGCAGAUAUAGGUAGACAGUCAUUAUUUCUGACACUUUCUCAGCAUUACAAGGAGUACUCUAGGGGGAAAACUAGUGUACGGUGUUACAGAAAUAGAUUGAUAUAACCACAUAGAAACCAGUUACUUUACUGAGCCAUUGUAACCAAUACAAUAUUCCCUUAAUGACAUUAAACAGUCACCUAGAUUCCAAAUUCAGUGUAGGACUCCUAUCUAAAAACAACCUCAGUUAUCUACAAAUUAAGUUGCCAAGAGGGAAAUUUAUUUUUUUCAUCAUACAAUGGUUUACAAGAAAUAUAUUCCUGAAUGACAAUAAUUUUUUUUAGCAUUCAAGUUUAUUAUUAUUUAGGGGACAUUAAAACAAGACAAUGGUCAACAGCAAUCACUUUAUGGCACUUGUGGGGCAUUAGAAAUCAGUAUAUUGAGAAGCCUCCGCUUAAGAGGACUUGGAGUGGUUACUGUACAGUAGAUACUAGUGUCACAUAAAUUGCAAUAACAUGAUUUAUCAUACAGAAGAGGUGU